Molecule: long non-coding RNA, 3064 nt
Organism: Dermochelys coriacea (leatherback sea turtle)
Lineage: Eukaryota; Metazoa; Chordata; Testudines; Dermochelyidae
Exons: 2
Source: RefSeq, a predicted model, not a curated record
CUUGGUGCCACUAGAUGGGACAGAACCCCACACCCAGGAGGUAUGUGGGUUACAUAGACAAGCCCCUUAGGCUAUGUCUACACUAGCAUUUUUGUUGUUAGAACUUUUGUUGAUCAAAUAUGUGGAAACCUCCUCUUCCACACUGCCCCCCUCCAGGACGGACAUAAGUUUCACUGACACAAGCACCCGUGUGGAUAGCGCUAUGUCAGCAAAAGACGCUUUCCAACCAUCAUAGCUACUGCAGCUUGUUAGGGGUGGUUUAAUUAUGCCGGUGGGAGACCUUAAAGUGAUAUCACUACAGUGGCACAGCUAUACCGCUAUAAGAUCUGUAGUGUAAACAUAGCCUUAUAUGCUUGUCUUUGCCAUCUGUGUGGUCCCCUUGACUUGACUGAAUCUGUUUCAGUGGAGCUGGUUCUGUGCUGUAAUUUAGUGACUAUAACCAGGAUUUUUAAAUACAGGAGCCUAACGUUAACUUUCUAAAUCCCCUGUCAGGCUGCUGAAUAAAGGCCUGAUGAUAGCAGUGCUGAAUACUCACAACCAAACCCCAAGGAUGCAAACUCAGCAUUUUUGGAACUCCAACUACUUAUUGAGAGACCUGAAUGUGGGUUUGGGACCUAAUUUUAGGUUGCUCUUUAUGGAAAAACUUGGCUGAAUCAUUUCCCCAGCAUGGCAGAGUUUAGAGCGUCUAUGUGCAGGGAAAGAACUUGGGGGGAAUUGGAGUGUGAAAUGGACCAAAGCCCCAGUCUCCUUCUCCCUUCUCACCUUGACAGGCUGAAGAAUAAUGGUCCAGAUCAUCCCAUACCCCAGAGGGAUGGGAAAAGGAAGUGCUUGCAGCAGAGCUCCUGAUCCUUGAGGAAGAGGCUGUGUAAGAGGAACAGUGGGCUUUGCUGGACCCGGGUCAGAGAGCCCUCUACAGGGAUGAAUGCAGGAGAAUUAUAAGACUGUGACCUCGCUAGCAGGUGACUAGACAGUGAGUGAAAAGGAGGAGGAAAACUCUCAGCAGGAAUGUCCUGAGCCAGUGGAACCACACAGAGGGUGGUCUCAGGAAGAGGUGAAGAGAACUUUUCUCAGAGUCCUGAGCAGCAAGAAGCCCAUGAGUCUGCAGGCCAGAGAAGCAGCCAGAGAAGAUACAGUGUAAAUCCUCUCAAAGGAGCAGAGGAUCCUCCCAAAGGAACAAGAAAAUCAAAGAAGCUGUUCAACAGAGAAUCCCCACUGGAGAGGGACCCUACACAUGCGGAGACUGUGGAAGAAGCUUCCCUUGGAAAUCCGUUCCUCUUACUCAUCAGAGAAUCCAUACAGGAGAAAAACCCUACAAGUGCCCUGACUGCGAGAAAUGCUUCAGGCAGCAUGGAAAUCUCAUUGCACAUCCACACAGAAGAGAAAUUCUACACAUGCAGUGACUGAGGGUAAAGCUUCAGUCUCAGCUCAGACCUCACAAAACAUCAGAGAAACCACAUGGGAGGAAAACCCUACACCUGCUGUGAGUGCGGGAAAAGCUUCAGACUCCGCUCCCACCUCCCACCACAUCAGGGAAUCCACAGUGGGGAGACCCUAUAAGUGUCCUAAGUGUGAUAAAAGCUUCAAAUGUAGCUCAUCAGUUAUCAGACGCGAGAGAAUUCACACAGAGGAGAAGCCCUAUAAAUACCCCAACUGCGGGAAAAGCUUCAGCCAGAGCUGGUACCUUAUUACCCAUCACAGAAGCCACACAGGAGUGAAGCCCACACAUGCUCCCUGUGUGGGAAAAGCUUCCACCAGAACUCGCACCUUAUUUCACACCAGAGAACUCACAUGGGGGAGAACGCCUAUAAAUGCCACCAGUGUGAGAAAAGCUUCAAUCAGAAGUGGAACCUUAUUAAGUGGACAAGUGGAACCUUGUCUAUUGAUAAGUGAGUUCUUACCAAACAGAAUACUAUCAAACUAAACUUCCUUUUACAUCCUCUAGGCUCUUCCCUUUCUCUGGAGGUGAUAGAUCGGAUCACCUUUCUAACAGCCCCAGACUGCCUUAUUUCAAUGUGACUAGUUUGGAAUGUGAGGAUGUGACCAUUCGCGUCCCAGCUUAUGACUGGUUCUGCUGCUUAGCCAAAGGCCUUCGCCUAAGCAGAGGGCCUCAGACUGUCACAGUAAGAGAAGGCCCUUACGCCGGCAGACAGUGAUUUUGUUUGUUUCUUUUAUACCUCUAUAACUAGCUAAGUGAUAAGAAUACACCUACAUUCUUAGAGUAUAGGCCUUUACAGACAGGCCUGAAUAUCUGUAUCCUAACAGCCUUUGCUAAUGCAACCUAAAAUUGACUUCCUUUUUUUGCAACAGAGUUGCACUGUUGACUCAUGCUGGGGAUGUGAUCCACAAUUCCCAGACCCUUCUCAGCAGUGCUGCUGCCAAGCCAGUUAUUCCCCAUUCAGUAUUUAUUUUUUCUUCCUCCACUGUAGCACCUUACCUUUGUCUAUGCUGAAUUUCAUCCUGAGGUUCUGCCAUCAUGGCUGUUCCUCCCUGUUCUGCAGUGCUAUCCCAACCCGCCAGCCAGUGCUAGUUGGCAGAGACUCGAAGCAGUAGUCCCCUCAGGAAACUGUCAUGUAAAAGUAACUGCUCUAUUUCAUUCUUCUCUGCCAUAUUGCCGUGGCUGUCUCCCACCCAUCUGAAGCGGUCCAGCUGCAUGACUGCCAGUACAUACAGAACAGCCUGUUCAUAUUAGGGACUGUCAGGACCAUGGCCUCAACAGUAGCUUCCUCAUGCUGCCUUACUGCAGUUUGAAAAUGCCACUGGUGAGGAACAAAAAAAAUGGAUGAAUUAUAGGAUGCCAGAAGAGGAAUCCUAGGAGUUUGUUAAUUUGACCCCAAGUCCCAGUUGGUUGUGGUAUGUAUCCCACAAUGCACCAUGAAAAAAAUUCCACAAUGCAGAGAGCGCAGUGGUGGAACAUUGUGUCCUGGGGUAUCUGCUCAGGAUGCUGCACGGUUAUUUUGACUAAAGUGAAGAGCAACAAUUCAGAACGGAAGCAGCUAAAAGUGGCAUAUACAGAGAAAAGUGGAUGCACUCUUUCAUAAUAGCUAUACUGAUACAGUUAGAGCAG